GGGACUGUGGCUUAGUGUUAGAGUUCUUGCCUAGCAUGCAUGAAGCCCUAGGUCUGAUUCCUCAGUACCA
This 70-nucleotide transfer RNA is filed under the name Dipodomys ordii (Ord's kangaroo rat). It matches the Rfam family "tRNA". From Rfam's summary of the family: Transfer RNA (tRNA) molecules are approximately 80 nucleotides in length. Their secondary structure includes four short double-helical elements and three loops (D, anti-codon, and T loops). Lineage: Eukaryota; Metazoa; Chordata; Mammalia; Rodentia; Heteromyidae. The record is from Rfam by way of RNAcentral.